This 73-nucleotide transfer RNA is filed under the name Camelus dromedarius (Arabian camel). It matches the Rfam family "tRNA". From Rfam's summary of the family: Transfer RNA (tRNA) molecules are approximately 80 nucleotides in length. Their secondary structure includes four short double-helical elements and three loops (D, anti-codon, and T loops). The record is from Rfam by way of RNAcentral. Lineage: Eukaryota; Metazoa; Chordata; Mammalia; Artiodactyla; Camelidae. RNAcentral also lists the same sequence under 1 other name.
GAGGGUAUAGCUCAAGUGGUAGAGCGCAUGCUUAACAUGCAUGAGGUCCUGGGUUCAAUCCUCAGUACCUCCU